RNAcentral lists this ribosomal RNA (406 nucleotides) under uncultured bacterium. Its description in RNAcentral is "bacterial SSU rRNA". It matches the Rfam family "Bacterial small subunit ribosomal RNA", at positions 29 to 483 of the family's 1533-position model. The record is from RNAcentral.
AACGAACGCUGGCGGCAGGCCUAACACAUGCAAGUCGAACGCACCGCAAGGUGAGUGGCGCACGGGUGAGUAACACGUGGGAAUGUACCCUUUGGUUCGGAAUAACGUUUGGAAACGAACGCUAAUACCGGAUGAGCCCUGUGGGGAAAGAUUUAUCGCCAAAGGAGCAGCCCGCGUCUGAUUAGCUAGUUGGUGGGGUAAAGGCCUACCAAGGCGACGAUCAGUAGCUGGUCUGAGGGGAUGACCAGUCACACUGGGACUGAGACACGGCCCAGACUCCUACGGGAGGCAGCAGUGGGAGUAUUGGACAAUGGGGGGCGAACCCUGAUCCAGCAAUGCCGCGUGGGUGAUGAAGGCCUCGGUUGGUAAGCCUUUACCCGGGUACGUGAUAAUGACAGUACCGGGA